UACAUGUGGGGCAAGCGUUGUUCGGAAUUACUGGGCCUAAAGGGUGCGUAGGCGGCUUGUUAAGUCAGGGGUGAAAGUUUUCGGCCCAACCGGAAAAUUGCCUUUGAUACUGGCGAGCUCGAGUGCGUGAGGGGUAACCGGAACGAGUGGUGUAGCGGUGAAAUGCGUAGAUAUCACUCGGAAGGCCAAAGGCGAAGGCAGGUUACUGGUACGCAAAUGACGCUGAGGCACGAAAGCGUGGGGAGCGAACGGG
RNAcentral lists this ribosomal RNA (253 nucleotides) under uncultured bacterium. RNAcentral describes it as "partial 16S ribosomal RNA". It matches the Rfam family "Bacterial small subunit ribosomal RNA", at positions 524 to 776 of the family's 1533-position model. The record is from RNAcentral.